RNAcentral lists this long non-coding RNA (678 nucleotides) under Nicotiana benthamiana. RNAcentral describes it as "long non-coding RNA (NBEN_LNC008578)". The record is from RNAcentral. Lineage: Eukaryota; Viridiplantae; Streptophyta; Magnoliopsida; Solanales; Solanaceae.
CGAUGAUGGUGCUGUAGUUGUGAUAACCGAAGCAGAUCUAGAUGGAUAUGAUCAUAGCCGUGACUCUAGGGUGGAUGGAUCUGAGAUCUGGGCUGAUUUGAAUUUGAUUUACAGGGUUCGAGUUGCCGGUGGAGCAGCCUUAGCAAGACUCUCCUGUAUGUGGUUUCAUUGUCACACGGACCAGAACAUUCCGCGUCAGAAGCUGACCGCAGAGAGCAAGCAGCCGGUGGGGCAGCCUUAGCAAGGCUCUCCUGUAUGUGGUUUCAUUGUCACACGGACCAGAACAUUCCGCGUCAGAAGCUGACCGCAGAGAGCAAGCAGCUGGGAAGUUUUACUGUAGAUAUACAUGUGUUUUCUUAAGUUUAAAUUUGUACAUAUUUUUCCAGUAUAAAAAUGUUACAAGGAGCCUACUGUUAAGCUUUCUUUACCAAUGGAAACCUUGACUUUCUCAAUGUAAAUACAAUAUAGUACUUCUCAAGUUGAUAAUGAGAAGUCUGAGUAUAUAUAUGUAUAUAUAGCUGUAUCCAGAACCUGAACUUUCAAUGAAGGACUUGAGUGCUUCCUUUUGGUGGUGGUGCCAUCAACCAAAUAUGGGGCAACAUACUGUUGCAUUUCUUGAAUGGCCAUUCCAAGAUGAUAUCCUUGUAACCAUUUAAAAAAGAAGAAGAAAAUGAUAUC